GAUGAAGAACGUAGUGAAAUGCGAUACUUGGUGUGAAUUGCAGAAUCCCGUGAACCAUCGAGUCUUUGAACGCAAGUUGCGCCCGAAGCCAUUAGGCCGAGGGCACGCCUGCCUGGGUGUCACACGUCGUUGCCCCCCCAUCUACUCCUUCGGGAUUGCGGGGGGCGGAUGAUGGCCUCCCGUGCGCCUCGUCGCGCGGUUGGCAUAAAUGCCAAGUCCUCGGCGACGCACGCCACGACAAUCGGUGGUUGCGAAACCUCGGUUGCCCGUCGUGUGCGGUCGUCGCGCAUCGAGGGCUCGAAAAAAUUGCCGGGCUCCGGCUCGGCUUUCAACGCGACCCCAGGUCAGGCGGGGUUACCCGCUGAAUUUAAGCAUAUCAAUAAGCGGGAGGA
This 392-nucleotide unclassified non-coding RNA is filed under the name soil metagenome. RNAcentral's name for it is "partial contains 5.8S ribosomal RNA, internal transcribed spacer 2, and large subunit ribosomal RNA". The stretch from base 1 to 122 matches the Rfam family "5.8S ribosomal RNA", at positions 35 to 154 of the family's 154-position model. The record is from RNAcentral.